This 633-nucleotide long non-coding RNA is filed under the name Citrus maxima (pomelo). Its description in RNAcentral is "long non-coding RNA (CMAX_LNC000552)". Lineage: Eukaryota; Viridiplantae; Streptophyta; Magnoliopsida; Sapindales; Rutaceae. The record is from RNAcentral.
GGCUUCAAUAUUGAGUAUAAAGAUCGAUUGUGCAAAUAUUCAAACUACUGCAUUUCAUAAUCAUACAUUAUUGUCUCUCUAAUUGCAUACAUAACUCUGAGGGUCACUGGAUAAUAAGCAAAGACAAAGAAAUAUGGACAAUAUUAUUGUAGCUAACCAGUGUUAUCUAGCCUCGAAUAUGAUCAUAUGAGCAUAUAUAUCAUCAUCAAUGCAUAACGCAAAUACCACAUCUCACCCAAAAUCUCACACCAUACUUUCAAUCAAGAUUUACUCAAAUAAAAAAAAAAAAUCAGCAACUCACAAUAGUAGAGACAAAGCCGACAUAACUCUAUAGCAGUAGCAGUCAAGGCAGUCGAAAUGGAGUAGCAGCGGUGGAGACAAAGCAGCGACGAUGGUCGAGAUGGAGCAACAGCGGUAGCCCAAUAAAGCAGCAGCAGCAGCAGCAGCGGCAGAGACAGAGUACAACAACCGAUUUGGGCACAUAGAGAGAGAGCGUUGUGAGUAGAUCGCGAGAGAGAGUCGAAGAGAUAAAGCACACUGAGAGAGAGAGUAAGAGUUGUGAGUAGAUCAUGAGAGAAGUCGAAAAGAUAAGCCCGAAGAGAUUAGGAUAAAGAUAAAGUCACUAGAUUUUUU